GGUUAAGCGACUAAGCGUACACGGUGGAUGCCCUGGCAGUCAGAGGCGAUGAAGGACGUGCUAAUCUGCGAAAAGCGUCGGUAAGGUGAUAUGAACCGUUAUAACCGGCGAUGUCCGAAUGGGGAAACCCAGUGUGAUUCGUCACACUAUCGUUAACUGAAUACAUAGGUUAACGAGGCGAACCGGGGGAACUGAAACAUCUAAGUACCCCGAGGAAAAGAAAUCAACCGAGAUUCCCCCAGUAGCGGCGAGCGAACGGGGAGCAGCCCAGAGUCUGAAUCAGCUUGUGUGUUAGUGGAACGGUCUGGAAAGUCCGACGGUACAGGGUGAUAGUCCCGUACACCAAAAUGCACAGGUUGUGAACUCGAAGAGUAGGGCGGGACACGUGGUAUCCUGUCUGAAUAUGGGGGGACCAUCCUCCAAGGCUAAAUACUCCUGACUGACCGAUAGUGAACCAGUACCGUGAGGGAAAGGCGAAAAGAACCCCGGCGAGGGGAGUGAAAAAGAACCUGAAACCGUGUACGUACAAGCAGUGGGAGCACCUUCGGGUGUGACUGCGUACCUUUUGUAUAAUGGGUCAGCGACUUAUAUUCUGUAGCAAGGUUAACCGUAUAGGGGAGCCGCAGGGAAACCGAGUCUUAACUGGGCGUUAAGUUGCAGGGUAUAGACCCGAAACCCGGUGAUCUAGCCAUGGGCAGGUUGAAGGUUGGGUAACACUAACUGGAGGACCGAACCGACUAAUGUUGAAAAAUUAGCGGAUGACUUGUGGCUGGGGGUGAAAGGCCAAUCAAACCGGGAGAUAGCUGGUUCUCCCCGAAAGCUAUUUAGGUAGCGCCUCGUGAACUCAUCUUCGGGGGUAGAGCACUGUUUCGGCUAGGGGGUCAUCCCGACUUACCAACCCGAUGCAAACUACGAAUACCGAAGAAUGUUAUCACGGGAGACACACGGCGGGUGCUAACGUCCGUCGUGAAGAGGGAAACAACCCAGACCGCCAGCUAAGGUCCCAAAGUCAUGGUUAAGUGGGAAACGAUGUGGGAAGGCACAGACAGCCAGGAUGUUGGCUUAGAAGCAGCCAUCAUUUAAAGAAAGCGUAAUAGCUCACUGGUCGAGUCGGCCUGCGCGGAAGAUGUAACGGGGCUAAACCAUGCACCGAAGCUGCGGCAGCGACACUAUGUGUUGUUGGGUAGGGGAGCGUUCUGUAAGCCUGCGAAGGUGUGCUGUGAGGCAUGCUGGAGGUAUCAGAAGUGCGAAUGCUGACAUAAGUAACGAUAAAGCGGGUGAAAAGCCCGCUCGCCGGAAGACCAAGGGUUCCUGUCCAACGUUAAUCGGGGCAGGGUGAGUCGACCCCUAAGGCGAGGCCGAAAGGCGUAGUCGAUGGGAAACAGGUUAAUAUUCCUGUACUUGGUGUUACUGCGAAGGGGGGACGGAGAAGGCUAUGUUAGCCGGGCGACGGUUGUCCCGGUUUAAGCAUGUAGGCUGGUUGUCCAGGCAAAUCCGGAUAAUCAAGGCUGAGGUGUGAUGACGAGGCACUACGGUGCUGAAGUAACAAAUGCCCUGCUUCCAGGAAAAGCCUCUAAGCAUCAGGUAACAUCAAAUCGUACCCCAAACCGACACAGGUGGUCAGGUAGAGAAUACCAAGGCGCUUGAGAGAACUCGGGUGAAGGAACUAGGCAAAAUGGUGCCGUAACUUCGGGAGAAGGCACGCUGGUGUGUAGGUGAAGUCCCUGCGGAUGGAGCUGAGACCAGUCGAAGAUACCAGCUGGCUGCAACUGUUUAUUAAAAACACAGCACUGUGCAAACACGAAAGUGGACGUAUACGGUGUGACGCCUGCCCGGUGCCGGAAGGUUAAUUGAUGGGGUUAUCCGUAAGGAGAAGCUCUUGAUCGAAGCCCCGGUAAACGGCGGCCGUAACUAUAACGGUCCUAAGGUAGCGAAAUUCCUUGUCGGGUAAGUUCCGACCUGCACGAAUGGCGUAAUGAUGGCCAGGCUGUCUCCACCCGAGACUCAGUGAAAUUGAACUCGCUGUGAAGAUGCAGUGUACCCGCGGCAAGACGGAAAGACCCCGUGAACCUUUACUAUAGCUUGACACUGAACAUUGAGCCUUGAUGUGUAGGAUAGGUGGGAGGCUUUGAAGCGUGGACGCCAGUCUGCGUGGAGCCAACCUUGAAAUACCACCCUUUAAUGUUUGAUGUUCUAACGUUGGCCCCUUACCGGGGUUGCGGACAGUGUCUGGUGGGUAGUUUGACUGGGGCGGUCUCCUCCCAAAGCGUAACGGAGGAGCACGAAGGUUAGCUAAUCCUGGUCGGACAUCAGGAGGUUAGUGCAAUGGCAUAAGCUAGCUUGACUGCGAGCGUGACGGCGCGAGCAGGUGCGAAAGCAGGUCAUAGUGAUCCGGUGGUUCUGAAUGGAAGGGCCAUCGCUCAACGGAUAAAAGGUACUCCGGGGAUAACAGGCUGAUACCGCCCAAGAGUUCAUAUCGACGGCGGUGUUUGGCACCUCGAUGUCGGCUCAUCACAUCCUGGGGCUGAAGUAGGUCCCAAGGGUAUGGCUGUUCGCCAUUUAAAGUGGUACGCGAGCUGGGUUUAGAACGUCGUGAGACAGUUCGGUCCCUAUCUGCCGUGGGCGCUGGAGAAUUGAGGGGGGCUGCUCCUAGUACGAGAGGACCGGAGUGGACGCAUCACUGGUGUUCGGGUUGUCAUGCCAAUGGCACUGCCCGGUAGCUAAAUGCGGAAGAGAUAAGUGCUGAAAGCAUCUAAGCACGAAACUUGCCCCGAGAUGAGUUCUCCCUGAGACUUUAAGUCUCCUGAAGGAACGUUGAAGACGACGACGUUGAUAGGCCGGGUGUGUAAGCGCAGCGAUGCGUUGAGCUAACCGGUACUAAUGAACCGUGAGGCUUAACCUUACAACGCCGAAGAUGUUUUG
This 2922-nucleotide ribosomal RNA is filed under the name Klebsiella pneumoniae subsp. pneumoniae 1158. RNAcentral describes it as "bacterial LSU rRNA". It matches the Rfam family "Bacterial large subunit ribosomal RNA". Lineage: Bacteria; Pseudomonadati; Pseudomonadota; Gammaproteobacteria; Enterobacterales; Enterobacteriaceae. The record is from RNAcentral.